CCCACCGUGCUGCCCGUCUGAGUGGGGAUGUGGGGCAGCGAGGCUGGAUGGGGUUUGGACACCACCGGCGUGGUAAAGGUUCGCUGGAGGUUUAUAGAGCAGAGCCUCUGUACCAUGCGUGGGGGGAAAGUGCUUCUGGGGCAGCUCAAGAGCACUGGGGAAACUGAGGCAGGAGGGCAGGUGUCCCUUGGCUUUGCUGGUCCUGCCGAAGUCCCUGGGCUGGAGUCCCCGUCCAGGCAUCUGUCCAGGUCCCCUUUGCAGGGAGGUUUAACAAAUGCCUUGCAGAGGAGAGCUGCAAGCCGCAGCGUGUGUUUCCAGCCCUGGCCGAGGAGGCCGAGCUGCUGACGGUGCCUUCGGAGGGAAGAGCAAAGCCUCCCCGCAAGCGCUGUAUUUCCAGGGCGUCGCCCAGUAACGCCCAGCCAGCGAGGGGACACGACCGUGCGGGGACCUGCGGGUGCUUAGGGUCCCCCGGGAUCCCCAGGGCAGCCCCCAGCCCCUGCAAGGGUGGCAGCUCCCUGCCCUGCAGCUUGGUGAGUUUAGUCCCCAAAUACAUUAGGAAUGGCAACGGUGAGCUUAUUUUUAAGUGAGUCUAAGCAUGAUUUUAGGGAGGGUGCUUUGAGAUUUUUAAUGCUAGUGGCUUUUCUACCAAAUACAUAUAGAGGGGUCUGGCUGAGGGGUCUCGGGGACCUGGUGUGGCUGGAGGUCCUGCUGGGACAGCACCGGCAGUUCAGCUGCAAUGAGCGGAAAAUGUGUUUGUGUGUUGGUUUUUCAGAAGAAGUGAGAAAAUGUCAUCUUUUAGGGAACAGAAAGAGCUGAGAAAACCAGACAAUCGUUAGCAAAGGGUCAAGUCGACAGGGAGAUUCUGUCCGAGGAGGGAUUUUUCCUGCUGCCUUCUGGCUCUCUUUGAGGCAUCCGAAAUAUUUUGUUCAAAUGGAAGAAAUCCUCCAAGUAAAGGCGCUAUUUCUGGUCAUAAAGCCACGGUGGGAGGGGCCGAGCCUUAGGAAAGAAAAAAACCCAAAAAACCCAAGCAAACCCUCUUUGCUGUGGUUUCAUCCCAGCAUGUCUGGCAAAAUCAGCACCAGCAUCUUGUGGGGUCACCCCUCUGCUUCCCCAUCCCGCCCCGCUUUUCCCAGCAAGAUCAAGUAACCGGGAUGAGGUGGGGUCCCAGGGAGCAGCCGUGCCCAGCCUACAGCCCCGCAAACCCAGCCCAGGCUCACGCUUAAACCCCAGCGCCCGGGCGAUGCCUCAGCGCACCCGCUGGGGACGGCGGCUGGUUUGCAGCACCCGCGCAAGCGGUGCCCGGCGGUGUUUUUCUCGGCUCCCGGUGCCGUGGGGCGGGCGGGCGGAGGGCUGCGAGCGCGGGGCUGCGCUGCGGCAGCGACGGGGUGAGGUUUGGGCUCGGACGGGGCUCCCGGCAGCCGGCUGGAGCUGGGAACGUUGCUCACAUGCGAGGUGCGUGCCUGUGUGGUGGUUUGGCUUGGGGAGCGGAGGGCAUGAGCUCAGGUCACCUCCUCCAGUCUUUAAAAUAUAUAUAUAUGUAAAUGUAUUUAUAUAUAUUUAUAAAAAUAAUAUAUACACCUACACAGAGCUACAGCUGCGCUUUUGGGGUGGCUGGCAGCAGCCCAAGCUCCAGCACCCCUCCGUACCAGCCCAGCAUCCCUGAUGCAGCAAGGUUUUCUCCCCAGGAGAGGUUUCCAGCCGGGCGCCUGUGACAUUGCCCUCCCCGCAGCAAGGAAAGGAAAAUAUCUUUUUGCAUUACUUUCUAUUGUUCCUGCCGCUCCCCUGCUGUGUUUGCAAACACCCGCUCUGGGUGGGACGCUAGCCCGUGCCCCUCAGCCACCCCAUCUUUGCGGCUGCUCUGCCCCUCUCCCAGCCCCUAUUUAAGUACCUCCCUGCAGGCAUGUGCGGGUCUUAUAUCCUCGGGUUGGAGAAGAGAGAAAAGGGUGCUCGUAGCCCCAAGGGCUGCCCAGGAUGUGGCAGCCCCCCCAUCCCGGGUGCCCACGAGCUGGUGCCUGGAGCCAGCGCUGCCCUGAGCCCUGCUCCGCGGGCUGCACAGCAGGAAGGCUCUUGAAAGUGUUAUUUUUAAUCCUUUUUCUUGUUUGUUUGUGUGGGUUUUUUUUCCCCUACUACAGGCUUGCAAUGCUUGGCCUUAGCAGCAAGUCCUGGUUUGGGCUCCAAAUUUUCCUCCCCAGUUGCCCCAGAUUUAUUUUAAAUCCACAAAGGAUUUACCAUGGGCUUCCCGUGCUUCUCCCGACGGACGCCUGCCAGCAGUGAGGAUGCCCAGGAAGGACCAGUCCCUUGCUUUAUUUUCCCCCCAUUUUUUCUGUGGCAGCAUCAAAUAACUCGGGGAUGAGCUGGUGCCGUGGGCCUCCUUUAACUCAUCGCCUGGGUCAUUGUAUCAGUUUAACCCCCUUUCUUUUUUCAGGUGGUCACAAUUAUAAACCAAUGAAUUCCUCACCCUGUGUUUAAGCAAG
Non-coding RNA from Phalacrocorax carbo (great cormorant), 2474 nucleotides. The record is from RefSeq and is a predicted model, not a curated record. Lineage: Eukaryota; Metazoa; Chordata; Aves; Suliformes; Phalacrocoracidae.